AUUGAACGCUGGCGGCAGGCCUAACACAUGCAAGUCGAGCGGUAGCACAGGGAGCUUGCUCCUGGGUGACGAGCGGCGGACGGGUGAGUAAUGUCUGGGAAACUGCCUGAUGGAGGGGGAUAACUACUGGAAACGGUAGCUAAUACCGCAUAACGUCGCAAGACCAAAGAGGGGGACCUUCGGGCCUCUUGCCAUCAGAUGUGCCCAGAUGGGAUUAGCUAGUAGGUGGGGUAAUGGCUCACCUAGGCGACGAUCCCUAGCUGGUCUGAGAGGAUGACCGGCCAAACUGGAACGGAGACACGGGCCAGACUCCUACGGGAGGCAGCAGUGGGAAAUAUUGCACAAGGGGCGCAAGCCGGAUGCAGCCAUGCCGCGUGUAUGAAGAAGGCCUUCGGGUUGUAAAGUACUUUCAGCGGGGAGGAAGGUGUUGAGGUUAAUAACCUCAGCAAUUGACGUUACCCGCAGAAGAAGCACCGGCUAACUCCGUGCCAGCAGCCGCCGUAA
Molecule: ribosomal RNA, 504 nt
Filed under: uncultured bacterium
Lineage: Bacteria
Description: partial 16S ribosomal RNA
Rfam family: Bacterial small subunit ribosomal RNA
Source: RNAcentral